UACGUAGGUGGCAAGCGUUGUCCGGAUUUAUUGGGUUUAAAGGGUGCGUAGGCGGCCCUGUAAGUCAGUGCUGAAAUAUCCCGGCUUAACCGGGAGGGUGGCAUUGAUACUGCGGGGCUAGAGUACAGAUGAGGUAGGCGGAAUUGACGGUGUAGCGGUGAAAUGCUUAGAUAUCAGGAGGAACACCGGUGGCGAAGGCGGAUCUCUGGGCCUUACCUGACGCUGAGGCGCGAAAGCUAGGGGAGCGAACAGG
This 253-nucleotide ribosomal RNA is filed under the name uncultured bacterium. RNAcentral describes it as "partial 16S ribosomal RNA". It matches the Rfam family "Bacterial small subunit ribosomal RNA", at positions 524 to 776 of the family's 1533-position model. The record is from RNAcentral.